GGUCGCCAGUGACUUCGUCGGUUUCUAGGUAAAACUUUAAAUCACUUAUUCUCUUUCGUUUCUUCACCAUUUUCCACAAAAUUGGUACCAAAAUGAAGCUAAUAACAUGUAGAAUCACGUUAUAUAAGUUUCAAGGCUUAAAAUCUACUAGGUUUUCCCCGAGAAAGCUCGAUAGUUCGGCUUACCUAGAUAUACGUCGAUCUCAGCCCUCCGACGUCCAAUUCCUUCCAACAAAGUGUUGGAAAUGUGCCCUAAAACCAAUCAUAUGAUGAUACUUUACGGACAUUUCACAUGUUAAACUAAUCUAG
Molecule: long non-coding RNA, 308 nt
Filed under: Malus domestica (apple)
Lineage: Eukaryota; Viridiplantae; Streptophyta; Magnoliopsida; Rosales; Rosaceae
Description: long non-coding RNA (MDOM_LNC000176)
Source: RNAcentral